CUUUCUUGCUGGCGACCGGCGCACGGGUGAGUAACACGUAUCCAACCUGCCCUUUACUCGGGGAUAGCCUUUCGAAAGAAAGAUUAAUACCCGAUAGCAUAAUGAUUCCGCAUGGUUUCAUUAUUAAAGGAUUCCGGUAAAGGAUGGGGAUGCGUUCCAUUAGGUUGUUGGUGAGGUAACGGCUCACCAAGCCUUCGAUGGAUAGGGGUUCCGAGAGGAAGGUCCCCCACAUUGGAACUGAGACACGGUCCAA
This 253-nucleotide ribosomal RNA is filed under the name uncultured bacterium. Its description in RNAcentral is "partial 16S ribosomal RNA". It matches the Rfam family "Bacterial small subunit ribosomal RNA", at positions 80 to 334 of the family's 1533-position model. The record is from RNAcentral.